GGUAACAUCGUUAGAAAUGGUGGCCGAUUCUAUAUAAGGCCACGCUUUUUUGGAGUCGGCGGUGGAAUUGAACGAGCCAGAACUGGAGACGAAGGAUCCCCUCUCUCUGUUGUGCAAUCUCCCUUCGAUACUGAUCCAGGGCAACCAUGGAUUAUUGGAUCCUUGACCCAAUCCUUGUUUAUUCCUGAAGGCAGAGUCAGCAUUAGUUACGAAUAUGUUCAACUGGGUGACUCUGUUGAGAGUAAUGAGUGGGUAGCUGUUGAGGUUCAGCUUGCAGGAACCGUCGUUAAAGUUGGCUACUCAAAUGCCAUUUCAGGUUUCUUCACUAUUCACAGAGCUUCCACAGCCAAUACCUAUAAAUUUCAGUUCUGUUCAACUGCUGGGUCCUGCAGUAAUGUUGGGAUUGUUAGGGAUGAAGCAGGGAACAGGAUUUUGGCCAUCAAUCAGGGUACCCCAUUUUUCGAGUUUUAUCUUCAGGAACUUCCCUAUGAAGUAUCUAAAUGAAGCUCUGAACAUGAAAACAUGGUACACUUUCUCCGUUAGAGAGAGGUGUCUACGAUGUGCUUUGGACGUAAUUAACUACACAACACUAAAUAAAUAACAUAUCCAAAGCUUAUUUCUGUUUCUUCUUUCUUUUUAAUAUUUAAAAACUUUUACCUCUCCCAAUUUAUUAUAUCAUAAUUUAUUAAAAAGAAAUAAAAUUAUAUUCUAUAAAACAUAGGAAACUGUAACUUAAAAAAAUUUAAAUAAAUUCAGUAAAAAUAUUAAACCAUUUAUAUUAUUUUUUAUAAAAAUUAAAUUAGUAAAUUAUCAUUAUAAUGAUUUUUUUAUGAAAAAAUAUGAAUUUUAAACUAUAUAUGUUUAUAAAAAUGUAAAUUUUUCUCUAUCAUUUUCUAAAACGAAAUUAAUUGUUUAUAAUAAAAAAAAAUACAUAGUGUAUAUGUUUUUACAAGGUUUAUAAAUUAUAUUAUUUACUCGAGCACCCAUAUUAUUUUACAUAAAAUGCUUCAUAACAUUUUUUUCCUCUUUUAUAUUUAUAGUAAUAAUUACAUGUUUUUGUCUAUUUAUGUUUUACUUUAUGUGAUUCCUAUAAUUUUAAAAAAGACCCAAUAUAGUCCUUAUAUUUGAUAAAGAUACAUGUACCUCAAUGUUAACUAAUUUUAUUGUUUAUAAUUCACACAUGCACAUUGAACUUUCAUAUUUCUUUUUCAUUAAAAACACUAGUCACCAUAAGAAAAAUUGAUAUUAUUAACGGUCAAAAUUUGUCUCACAGUGUUUAAUAAAACCUUACAAUAUCAUAAUGUUUCUGAUUUUUUAUGAUGACAACACAUUAUUAAUAACACAUGUAUUGAUAUGUGUUACAUGUUCGUUACUUUCCUGUGUAUGAUUACUUGAGCACAUGUUUGUGUUAAUUCUGUCAUUGUGUGCAAUUUAACUUUGUUCUACAUGAGAUAUUAUCUGUGAUUGCAUAACAUAUGAUUUGGAAAAGAAAAACCACAUGCACUUUUGUUGAACUUAUAUUGUGUGGCAAAAUAAUAGUUUUAAGUCGACUUCAUUAUGAAGCAAGUCAAUUAAAACUCGUGUCUUUGCACAAACAUUUUCAAAGUGUGCUAUGAACAGUUCUGCAAAGAAAGUUUUUCAAAACUGCAUUGAAGUGUAACUUAGUCGACUAUGUGCGCAAGCCAUUCGACUUAGUUAGUUUUGUUUUGAAAAUCUGUUAAUGCUUGUGAAGUAUAACGACUAUAUUUUGUAUCUUUGACCAAGCAUUAAUUGUUAGUCAACUGUAUUAAAUGUGUAAUCAAUUUAGUUGGUCUGAUUGCUAUUAUCUAUUAUAACUGUUAUAACUGUCUGCAUUGAGUCGACUGCAUUAGUCGCACAAUCGAUUAGUGGAGCGCCUAUUUUGUGAUAAACUAUAUAUAAAUGCGAGUUUGAUUUCAAAAAGAGACUUUUGUGAUUUCAGUGAUUCUUUUCAAAUUUUGUAGAACGUGCUAAGCUCCAAGAACUCAUCAAGAAGACCGUGGUGAUCGUUCUUUGGUGGUUGCUUGAAGAGCAAGUGUUUGUGAUGAUAGAAAGAUUGAUCAUACUACACAUAAAGGUGUUUGGAACGUGAUCGACUACUUCUCUCAAUCUUUGGAAGAUUGUAGCUGCCCUGUUCUGAUUACAGGAAGAGGAGGUGAUGCGUCCAAAGACUCUAAGGAUUGUUCAAAGUGAUUAAAGAUUGUAGGAGAGGGGAUAUCUUGUUGAUGUUCUUUGUGUGUAUAUGCCUAUAUUUUGACGUGGAGAUCUCUAUAAAAACGUUGUUGUAAAAACCUUGACCAUUAUAGUGCAUUUUCUUCCGGGUACGAGAAGGACACUAGAUGUAGGCAGUUUGGCCGAACCAGUAUAAAAAUUGCGUUCAAAUCUUCUAUCCCAACACUUUUACAUUUCAAGUCAACUUUACUUUUAACGUACUCAACUAUCUUCCGCUGCACUUGAAUUAUCUUUUUCCUUGCGAUUCAAGAAACUUUUGAAAGUUCUAUCUUUUACGAAAAAGAUUUUAAAAAGACUCUGAUUUUUUUAUUUCACCAAUUCACCCCCUUUCUUGGUGUUGAAACUAUGUCAUUCUAUUUUCAACAAUUGGUACCAAAGCUGAUUUUCAUAAGAUAUUUGAAAAACUAGUCGACUUCAUUUUUCUUUGAAUCGACUAUUCCUAGAAUAUGGCCUAUAGUUUUCAAACCUUUGGUGAUGGUGUAUCGACAAAUAGACCACCAUUGUUUGCUGGUGAAAACUAUCCUUUUUGGAAAAUACGAAUGCAAAUUUUUCUUGAAUUAGUGGAUAGAAUUAUUUGGGAUGCAACAGUAAAUGGUCCUUUUCAGCCAACUCAUAUUAUUAAUGGCAAAACAAUUUUGAAAAAAUUUUCUGAGUGGUCUCAAGAAGAAAAUUGUAGAGCACAGUAUGAUGUUAAAGCACGAAAUAUAAUUGCCUCUACGCUAACAGUUGAUGAAUUUUUCAAGAUCUCUCAUUGCAAAAUUGUCAAAGAAACGUGGGACAUGCUGGAAGUCAUACAUGAAGGCAUGGAUGAGGUCAAGAGAGCCAGAAAGAAUCCUUUAAUACAAGAGUAUGAACUUUUCAGAAUGAGGACUAAUGAAACCAUAUAUGAGGUUCAAGAAAGGUUCACUCACAUUGUCAAUCAUCUAAUGACUCUUGGGAAAGUGUUCGAUAAAGAGGAGAUCAACAUAAAGGUACUCAAAAGUUUGAAUAGAAGCUGGCAACCAAAAGUCACUGCAAUCUCUGAAUCCAAGGAUCUAAAAAGCAUGAAUAUGACUACCUUGUUCGGGAAGUUAAGUGUACAUGAACUUGAACUUGGAAGAUUGAAAGAUGAGGAAGAGAUUGAAAAAAAGAAGUUCAUAACACUGAAGGCUAUAAACAUGAAAGCCUCAAAGACUGUACAAUCUGAGGAUCAUUUUGAUGCUGAAUUGGACAACAACGAACUAAUGUCCAUGGUGGUAAGAAAAUUUAAUCAGUUUAUGAAAAAUACUAGUCAACUUACUGACCAUGUAGGAAAUAGCAAAGGAAACAAAAUUACCAGAUCAAAUGCAGUUCAAUGUUAUGAAUGCGACAAAGAAGGACACAUCAAGCCUGAUUGUCCUGAUCUGAAGUUGAAGUAGAAAACAAACAGGAGGUUCCCCAAGGACAAGAAUAGAAAGCAGAAAAGUGCUUAUCUUGCCUGGGAAAAUACUGACUCAGAAUCCUCAAGUGAUGAAGAAUGUGAUCAAUAAGAGGAAUUAAAUAUAUGCUUCAUGGCUGGAAAAUCAUUGACAAAUUAUGAUAAUGAUACAGAGUUCGAGAAAGAACCUAUUGAAGUGAAGUACGACCUGUUGCUGGAUGCAUUUUAAGAAAUACACGCUGAAGCCGACUAUAAUACAAGGUUAAUCGACUUAACUCUGAGAGAAAGGAUUAUGAACAUAUGAUAAAUAAUCUAGUCAAUGAUAAUGAUAAACUGCAAAAGGAAUUAGAUGCAACUUUAUUAUCCUACUCGGGUUGAACAAAUAGAUUACUUGACUAGUACACUAGCAAAGUUCACUCAGGGUAGAGAUAAUUUAGAUGAUGUUUUAAAGUGAUCUGGUAGAGCUAUAUACAGACAAGGUAUUGGAUAUAAAGCUCAAUCAAAUAAGACCAAUACAAAGAAGUUUGCUAACUUGAGUAAACCUGUUAAACAUACAUGUUUUUACUACAAUAACAUUGGUCACACUAUUAGAAAUUGUUUUUACAGAAAGGUUGGUGUUCCAAAAUGAAUGUAUAAGUGGGUUCCUAAGGAACAAUUGUCUGCUAACAAACAAGGACCCAAAUUCAAAUUGGUACCUGCAUCAAAAAAUGUUAAUUGUUUUGCAGGAUAGAAAGUGAGUAGUAGUGGAGAUCUCAAGGAUGAACUAAUAUGGUUAUAUCAAAUUUCUUGAGUAUCUCCAAGCGGUAACAAUCAUUUUAUGUUUGCAUCAUGUUUGAUAUGUAUGAUUGUGUGAUUGCUUGAUUGUUUAAUGAUAUGUAUGAUUGAUUGAUUUUAAUUGUUUACUGUGAAAAUCAAUUUUUACGACUUUUAGUCGAUUAGAUUAUGUGCACAGUCGAUUGCAUGUUGUUGUAUGUAUGUUUCUGUUUUUGAAAACUCUCUGUCAUACAGUAGUCAACUUUAAAAUUAAUGGAAUGGACUAGAUAUCUCUGUCAUUAGCCUUUUUGUUUUGAAAAUUUAAAAUGGGCUAAAUCUUGGUGGAACUUAAUUUGUGCCUUUAAAUAUGAUUGCUUGUAUUGACUCUACUUCAUGCAUGUUGUAAGAAAAACCCUUAUUUUUGUUCAAGAAGUCUCUACACUCUUUACAAAUCUUCAAAAAUGGCUGCUUCAUCAUCUCAACCUGGAAAGUGCUCGACUUGUACAAGAAGAGCAGCAAAUCCUUUUGGGUGGUUCAGCGAUGAUGAUCAAAGAACUGACAUUAUAUGCAAAUGGGGUUUUAUGGAAGUGAUCAGGCAUAAGUGCAUGAGUAUUCUAUUCUUCCACAAUGAAGGCUUUGCAUUUCAAGAAUGGUUUGAGAGAGCUGGCUUGACAAAGUUUGUAGAACUCCAAGGGGAUUGUUAUCCAAACCUAGUGAAGAUUUUCUAUUCAAACCUGAGAAAAGAAGGAAACAAUCUUAUAUCAAGACUAAAAGGUGUAAACAUCUGUAUAGGCUAUUUCAUUUGGAAAUAUGUUGCAAGACUUCAACAAGAAGGAUUGAUGGCACAUCAAGUAUUUCUGGUUUCUACAAAACUGAAUUAUACAACAACUUCUUGAAGAAUCCUUACUUGGUUGGUAGAUAUGAAUCCUUUGGCAUCGAGAACUUAAGUAAGGAAGAAAGCUUGUGCGCAUAUAUGAUUACUUGGAUACUACUUCCAAGGGAUGAAGAUCAAUCACUGCUGAAUGGUGAAGAUAUAUACCUAUUGUAUGCCUUACAAACUGGUACUCCAACAAACUAAGCCUUAGUGAUUAGUGAUUAUAUGUUAAGGUUUGCAAAACGAAAAGAGUAUUAUCUACCAUACGGUGUCUUCAUCAGUAAAAUAUUAAGAAUGCAAAAUGUGGAUCUCAAAAAUGAAAAAACUAUUGGUUGCAACAAGAACAAUGUUUUGGAGAAAUUGUUUUUAGAUUCUGUGGGAUUCAGGAAAGUGAAAGAAGGCUGGAUAUUCAAGAAUGACUACAUUCCUAGUACUGAAGAUAUGAGUCCUAUAAACAUUGAUUUAUCCAAAUACAAAUUUCUACCCCAAACAAUAUUUGAAGAAUUUGUGGAUGAAAGGUUCAAAAGACUUAAUGAAAAGAUGAUAGUGCUGCAAAAAUCACUCAUAAAGCUGCAUAGAAAGAUGGACUAUGCACUAAGGAUAAAUGCCUUUUUAGAUACCUCAGCGAAUGAUUCUGAUAGUGGAAAGAACAACACUGACAAAAAGAUUAUAGAGUCUUCCAAAACAAAAUAGGGUCUUGUGUUUACAACAUUGUGUCAUGAGUCAUGUUUGAUGAAGUGUUUCGUCAUUUUAGUUUGAGUGUUUUAGUUUCUUUUGGAAUAGGCCUUAUAUGGCACUGUCUUUGAGAUAUCUGAUUGUAACACCCUUUUGGAAUAUUAAUGAAAUCAGAUGUUUUUUUUUUUUUUUAAUUUGAUCAGUGUUAAUUUGAUAAUUGAAAUCGUUUAAAUCAAAUUAAAAUGGACUCUGUGUUGACUGAAGUUGAUUAUGUUGUGUUUAUCUUUACAUUGAUAUUUUUGCAUAUUCACUUCUUAACUGUAUAAUUUCUUUCAUUAUAAUGAUUCUAAAAUGCUUGAUCUACAAAAGAUCUUGAAAGGUUUUGCAGGAACUGGAUAAACUACUGGAGUUUCUACUCAAUGGAAAGCAAUGAAAUCGAUUGCCAAUGAAGAACAAUCGACUACUGGUUUACAAGGGUUAUAAAUUCCAUUUAUUGGAAUUUGGUUUAUUGAUCUCAUAUCAUAUACAGUUUCUUUCAAUAUAUCUAUUUCUUUGAUUGAUUGAUAUAUUUGAGAUAUUAUUGAGAUUGUUGAUUGAUUGUAUCUAUGCUUAAUUGAUUUUAUUGUACAAUUUUUGGUUUUGAUACAAUUCUGUCACAUGAUUUUAAUAUGCUUUGAAAUCUGUAAAAACUGCAUUGUGCAUCUGGGUUUUGAUUAUAAAACAUGCAUAAUGACAAGGGGAGCAUUGCAUGAUAGAUUAGAUAUUUCACAUGCCUACACUUAAGGGGGAGAUUUUUUAUUCUGUUUGUUAUUCUUUUCUUUGUUUCUUGGCCAGGAGUGCAAGGUCUUGAGUGUGAGGUGUGUUAAGUUCACAAUUCACCAUGUUUUUAUGAGUUAAAUCACUCCUUUUUGAGUAACUUUUAGUUCUUAUAUGAUUUUGAGAGAUUAGAUUUGUCUUUUCAUGAUAAAAUAGUUGUUUUGAUGAAUUUGUGCUAAUGAGGUGUUUUUAGAUGCGUUUUUUUUUUCUUAGGAUUGUGCUAGUCUUGUUUUAGUCUUUGUAAGUGUAAAUUUCAGUUUUUGAAGCUAACUUCAUGAGGAUUUUUCCAACUUUUUAAUGCAGAGCAAUUCAGUGACUUAGUGUUUUGUUAGGUAAGUAGGUAAGUAUGUUUUGUUAGGUUGCCUUGAUUUAGAAAUUCUAAUUCUGCAGUUCUUUUUGCUUCAACUAGUUUGAUUUAUCUAUAAAUCAUGUUCACUCAUAUAUGUUUGCAUCUUGCAUUGCAUGGUUGAAUCAAGCCAAUAGACAAAAUUCACAUUUGAUGAUAGAAGCACCAGUGUGUUGUUUGAUGCCAAACUAGAUUCUAGUUAGUGAUUUUCGUUUCUGCAUGCAUUUCUUGUUUGUUGCAGUCAUUGCAUAUUCAUUUUCUGCUUUUUUGAUUCAUUGAAGCAUUUUUGCAAAUAAUUUGGUAAAACUGCAUGUUCAUUCAAGCAUUUCAUUAAAUAGUUUGAGAUUUCAUAAUUAGGCAUAGCUUUUCGUAAUUGUAAGCAUCCCAACAUAUUACAUUAUAUCAUUCUUACUGUUUUAAGUAAUUCUUAUUUUCUAACCAGUUUAAUACCAUUUCAUGAUGAAUUAGUCAUCUACCUAAUGCAUAAGCAUACUAUUCUAUCAUAGCUCAUUUUAAAAAUAGUAUUUUACAUACAUUUUAAUUCAUUUUAUCAUUUCCCCAUCUUCUUGCGAAAACUUAACACUAACUAAGAAACAGAUUAGCUUUCAUACCAAUUUGUUGUACAAUUCAAUGCCAAAAUUAUUCUAAAGAUAAGAACUUGCAGAAAGGGUAAAACAAAUCACACAUUGGGAAAUGAUGAUUCAAUAAUUAUAUAAAGUUAUAAAUAUUAUGAAUUAAUGAUUUUUUAUUGGUUUUCUACAAUUACUCGUAUGUUUUUAUUUUUUUUUCUGAGAUUUAUCUAUUUUUAUUAACUAUUUGUAAAAAGUAUCAUUUGGGUUGAAUUUUAUAUUUAUAAAUAGGAUUUUUCAUCUUAAUAAUAUAAUACAUAAAAUUAGUCUUCAUUCUCUUUUAUUUUCUCUUUUUCCUCUUUUUUUUUUCUUCAUUAUCAGCUUUAUAUUUUAUAACAAUAAAUACAUAUAUCAUAUUCUGUUUAAAAAAAAAAGAGCCUUAUUUCAUCCUUCGUAUACAAUGCGUAUUCUAUUCAACCUUACAAAGGGACACAAAGUUCUUACAAGUAAGUUAAACCUACAAACAAAAUCUAAAUAAUAGAAAAUGUAUGUAUAAGACGAUUGGUCCACCAACCUGACAUUAAUACUAGACAACGUCUACAAUUGUUUGAUGAUUUUCAAGGGAAGACAUCUACAUUUUGAACACAUAGUUUUAUUUAUUAUUAAUAAAAUUAUACAAAAGAAUAAUCAUCUAGUAUUCCUAAACUAGUUAGGAACUAAACCAUUCAGGUCUUAACAAUAUUUAAUUUAAGACUAAAUUUUGUAUGAAUAAAUAAAAACUUUCUUAUGUCCAUUAAUCAACAAAAAUAUGAUUUCUAUUUAUGUUAUAAGUUUUCAAUAAUAAUAGAGAAUAAAAAAGAAAUAAUUUUUAAUUUAAAAAAUAGUUUUCCACUUAAUUACUAUAAUAAUUGAGUAUUUCUCUCUAAAUUACUUAACAAAAUAAAUUUUUAGUUUUAAAUGACCAACUUGCAAAUUAAUACAAAAAUUGUCUGAUAAUUAAAUCAAUCAAAAUAUAAUAUAUUUUGUGGUGAAUAAUAUACUUUACGCAGGAUAAGGAUGACGCUUUUGGCGUACGAGGCUUUGAUGGUCCCCAAACAAUAAAUAGGGGCCAAGUUUAAUGUAAUGUGCGGCGAAAAUUACAUAGACACAAUUUAGGUCUUGGUCCCAAACAUCACAAUCCUUCUGCCAAUAAUUACAUAGACACAAUUUAGGCACGUGAGAGCUAAUUUUGUAAUCAUUUCAUCGGAUGUUCUCGAAGGGAUAUGUAGGACAGUGUUUUCUAAAUUGAAUUAAUUAAUUUUAGCAUAGUGCUUAAUAAACAUUAGAGCUUUCAAUUUCACAUUCACACAGAAAGUAAUUGGCACGGCCUAAAAGGAUAAUAAGUAACUAUCCGAUAAAUAUACUAAUAAACACAAUUCAAUAAGUUCUAUUUAGUAAUAUUGGUCCAAUUAGAUAAAUAUUGUUAACAAAAGAGAUUUUUUUGAUUUAGUUAUCAUAUAUUAAAGUAUAAUCAAAUAUUAAUAGUUUGAAAAUUGAUGUAAGAAAUAUUUUUUUAUAUCUUAUAUUAAUAAGAUAUAUGAUUAAUUUGGUUUAAUGGUAUAUUAUAUAUAUAUAUAUAUAUAUAUAUAUAUAUAUAUAUAUAUAUAUAUAUAUAUAUAUAUAUAUAUAUAUAUAUAUGGGUUUGCUAACUUGCGUAUGUCUAUUUUUCAGUUAGUACAAUUUAGCAAUGUAUAUCGGGUUUCAGUAGACAAAAAUACUCCUAUAUAUCAUGAAUUCUAAGUUUUAAGGUUAAGGGUAUUUUAAUAAUUUUCAUUCUCAAAAUUAAAAAAAUAAAAAAAAAAACCCAAACUCUUACCCAUCUCUCUCGUUCCUCUCGACCAUUUCUCUUUCAUCUCUUUCACUCCAACCUUUUCUCUGUCAUCCCUACUCUAGCUCCAAUUGAAAAAAAAUCAGAAACACUUGCCUUAUUUUAAUAAUUUUCAUUCUCAAAACUAAAAAAAGAAAACCUCAAACCCUUACUCACCUCCUUCAUUCCUCUCAACCCUUUCUCCUUCAUCUCUCUCACUUAAACAUUUUCUCUAUCAUCUCUGCACUAGCCCUAACUAAAAAAACAUUCAUUAUUAAACGAUUUACUUUUGUAAAGAGUUGAGUCAUAUUCACCUUUCGAAAAAAGUUCAUUCAAAAUCUCUUUAAUUUCAUUAUCUUCACUAUAUAUAUUACAGCCGACGGGCACAACUUGCACCAAGACUUAUGAGCAUCCUUCCUUUACAUUCCUUUACAUUCUGAGACUACUACGUAACAUUGCUCCCUGGCCAUUUAAUUUUUUUGGUAGAAAUUCAUUAACUUGUUUUCCUUUACUAAAGAAAAAAACAAAUCAAAAUACAAUAAAAUUCUCAAUUAUAAAAUCAAACAAUAAAAAUUCUAAAUCUUGAAAUUUUAUUUAUAAUUAUAUAAAGAAAAAAUUAGGUGCUUUAAUUUUUUUAUUUAUGUAAGUAUUUUUUUUCUUNNNNNNNNNNNNNNNNNNNNNNNNNNNNNNNNNNNNNNNNNNNNNNNNNNNNNNNNNNNNNNNNNNNNNNNNNNNNNNNNNNNNNNNNNNNNNNNNNNNNNNNNNNNNNNNNNNNNNNNNNNNNNNNNNNNNNNNAUAUAUAUAUAUAUAUAUAUAUAUAUAUAUAGGUUUGUUAAUGCGCGUACACUUGUUUUUCAAUUGGUACAUUUUAAGAAUGUAUACCAGGUUAUAGUAGACAAAAAUACCCUCAUAUAUUAUGGAUUCUAAGUUUUAAAGUCAAGGAUAUUUAGAUAAUUUUCAUUCUCAAAACUAAAAAAAGAAACCCCCAAACCUUUACUCCCCUCUCUCAUUCCUCUCAAUCCUUUCUCUAUCAUCUUUUUCACUCCAACCUUUUCUCUAUCAUUUCUACUGUAGUCCCAAUUAAAAAAAAAAUCAGAAACACGGGCUGUUAAACAAUUUCUUACAAAAAAAAAAAGAUUUUAUAAUGAGUUUUCAUUUUAUAAUUUUUGUCUUAUCUAAUUUUAUCUAAUUUUCACAAGCAUAAUGAUAUAUGAAGGAAUUGGUAAUUCGCCUGGAAAAAAAUCAGAAACACUCGCUAUUAAACAAUUGGUUUAAACCUCUUUUUUAUAACUUAGGAAUCAAAGGUUUACAUUUUUAAAAGCGGGGACUAAACUGAACAUCCGCUCAUAACUUAGGGACCAAAAAGAGGUUUAAACCUAAACAAUUUCUUACAAAAAAAAUGAUUUUAUAAUGAGUUUUCAUUUUAUAAUUUUUGUCUUAUCUAAUUUUAUCUAAUUUUCACAAGCAUAAUGACAUGAGAAUGAAUUGGUAAUUGGCCUGAAGGUUUUUUAAGAGAUGAUGAUUCAACAUCUGCAGAUGAUGUAAUUAGAGAGGUUAGUGAAGAUGAUGAAAUUGAAGAACCUUUGUCUGAAGGCGAAUAUGUCAAUGACUCAACUCUUUACAAAGGUAAAUUGUUUAACGACGAGUAUUUCUAAUUUCUUUUUUCAGUUGGAUCUACCAUAGGAUGAUAGAGAAAAUGUUGGAGUGAGAGAUGAAAGAGAAAGGGUUGAGAGGAAUGAGGGAGGUGAGUAAAGGUUUGGGAUUUCUUUUUUUAGUUUUGAGAAUGAAAAUUAUUUAAAUAUCCUUGACUUUAAAACUUAGAAUCCAUAAUAUAUGAGGGUAUUUUUGUCUAUUAUAAUCCGAUUAAAAUGUACCAACCAGACAUACACGGGUAAGAUUUCAUUAUUUGUUGAUAUUGUCUAUUUUAUGAUUUUAUAAUAUCAAAAACUCUAUAAAUAUACGAGAUGUUUUUUAGUGAGUACAAUAUAAUUCAUAUUCAUUAUUUUAAUUUUAUAAAUACUGAAACUAUCUUAUAUUAUCCAUUAUUCACUAAUAUUUUUAUUAUGGUAGAAUAAUUUAUUAAAUAUAUGUAGAGAAUACAUGUCAAAUAUUUUUUUUUUUUCCUUUUGGUAACACCUGUCUCAAUUUGGGCUACAAGUUAUAAUAAUAUUCACAAUAAGAAGAAAGGAGUCAAUGCACACUCUGUUCCAAAUUCUGUAUAUCCUUGUGGAUCUCAUCUAUUUCAGUAAAAAGAUUAAUGAGUCACACCCGAAGAAAUCUUUGAGAUAUAUAAUGAAAGAAUCACAAUAUUAUUUGGAUGAUUCAAUAAAACACCUUAUGGAAACUUUACCAAUCAACUUCUUGGCAGCAUUUGAUGAUGCUGUUAGUAUUUUGAGUUUGUGAAAAAAAUAGUUUAUAGGAUAGAGAAAAUAUGGAAAUAGUAGAAUGUAAAAAUAAUAGUUUGAAGAAGUAUAUUUUUUUAGUUGUCUUAGUUGUGGUAGAUGUUGUUUUACAUCAAAUUAUGGAGUAUAUGAGUAUUUAUAGACCCAUAGAUUAUUUUAGAAAAUGCUAACCACAUCUUUUGUGGAAUGCUCUAGAUAUUUACUUAUGUAGAAUGCUCUUGAUUUUUUUCUUCCCAUCUUAAAUUUUCCUAUAGUAUUCUAGAAUUUGUAUUACAUUUUAAUACUUCUAUCUUAGGAUUUUCUAUAUUAUUCUAGAAUUUGCAACACAUUUUAAUACUCUUUCUUGAUGCAAAUUCAGCUCCAAGCAUAGAGCAUAGUAGCUCAAAUCUUGGUCUUGGUAACACCUAUGUAAAAAUAUCUGCAAUUUGGUCUUCUAUUGGACAAUACUCGAGUUGAAUUUGCUUAGUUGUCUGUUUAUUUCGAAUGAAGUGAUAUUUAAUGGCUAUAUGUUUUGUUCUUUGAUGAUGGACUGAAGUUUUUGCUAUUGUUGGUAUCGAUUUGUUGUCAUAAUAGAUAAUGGUCAUCCAAUCUUGUAGUUGACCUAUUUCUUCAAGUAUUCUUCGUAGCUAAAUUACUUAACUCGUGAUUUCAGCAGUUGCUACAUACAUUUCUUUUGUUGUUGAUUGUGCCACAAUUACUUGCUUCUUUGAUACUUUAUAAUGAAUUUGACUUGGCUUUUGCAUGAAUCUUGAUAGAAGACUUGUAGCAUACGUAAUGUCCGGGUGUGCGGUUGUGAGAUACAAGAUACUUUCACUUAAACUCCUGCAGCGUGAUGCAUUUGCCUCUUAUGCUUCAUUAUCUUUUUGCAGCUUCUCGUUUACCACAAAUGGAGUAAUUACAUGUCUACAAUCAUACAUCUUGAAAUUCUUUAAUAGAGUUUCAAUAUAUUUCUUUUGAGAGAUAAAUAUACCUUCUUUUUCUUGUUUCACCUCUAUAUCGAGGAAAUAGUUCCUCAAGCGAAGGUCGAUCAUCUUAAAUGUCUUCAUUAUGUCUUCUAUAAAUUCUUUCAUCAUCUCCGUUUUUUUCCAGUAUAGAUAAGAUCGUCAAUAUAUAAGGAGAUAACGAGAUGAUACUGAUCUUGUGCCUUAAUAUAUAGUGUUGGUUCACUCUUACUCCUCCUGAAUCCUUGAUCGAUGAAGUAUUGAUCAAUCUUGCUAUACCAUGCUUGAGGAGCUUGCUUCUGGUCAUAUAAGGCAUUUUUUUGUCUUAGUACUUUUCCUUCAUUGUCUUUGUUGAUGAAGCCUUGUGGUUGUUCAACAUAAAUCACUUCUUUGAGCACUCCAUUUAGAAAUGUUGAUUUGAAAUCCUGUUGAUAGAUGUUCCAUCCUUUUUGUGUUGUAAGAGCUAUUAAAGCUUUAAUUGUAUCUAAGCGAGCAAUUGGAGCAAAUGUCUCAUUGCAGUCUAUUCCUGACUAUUAUGAGUAGCCUUUAGAGACAAAUUUUUCCUUAUGUUAUAUGUUUUGGAUGUAGGGUCAAGGAUCUCAACAAAACACUCCUUCACCCUUUCCUUUGAGUCAACUUAGGUUAUCUUGAAUACUCUUAGUUAAAAUCCUUUCUAGUCCAAGCUUCAAACUGUCCAGGUGUACCUGUCAAAGGCACUAUGAUGCUCAACAUCUCGACUAAAGGUGAGUUCUUUUGUUUGUAAGUUGUAGAAUUGAUAGCCUUUUAAUUAUGUGUUAUAUCUCAAGAAUAUUCGUCGUAUAGUCUUGUCUUCAUGUUUGUGCCUCAUUUGAUCAAGAACAUGUAUGUAGUAAAUAAAUCCAAAUACUCGUAGGUUUUUAACUAAUGACUCUCUUCCCCUCCAAGCUUCAAUAUGAGUCUUGUCUUGGAUUACCCUAGAUGGACAUUUGUUUAAAAUUUAAACUCUAGUAUAGACUGAUUAAGCCCAAAAGAGUUAGGCAUAGCAUUGAUCUUGCCAUCUCCAUGACUAAGCAAUUCUUUCUCUCUGACACACCAUUUUGUUGUGGAGUAUAUGCGAUUGUAAGUUGUCGUUCUAUGCCUUCAUCGUCGUAGAAUUUGUCAAACUUAUGAGAUAUGUAUUGUUUGCCAUGAUCACUUCUAAGUACUUUUAUCUAUUUUUCUCUUUGCUUCUUGAAAAGAGCCUUGAAAUACUCCAAAGACUUCUGAAUUUUCCUUUAAGAAAUAGAUUCAUGUCAUUCUAAAGAAGUCAUCAAUGAAGAAGAUGAAAUACAUGUUGUGAUAUGUGAAGUUGAGAGAAACACUAGAAAAGGGGUUGAAUAUUGUUUCUAUAUAUCUUUCCGAGACUAAUAUAGUGAUCAUGAUUUGAAUGAUCUUCAUGAGCUAGUUAAAACAUACUUUAUAAGUUAUUCUGAUGAACAUAUUUAUAGUCUUGGGUUUAGCUCAUCCUUCUAGUGGUUAUGAAGGAGCGAAUCUAGGAAAAUGUGGUGUAUGUUGAAGGUGCAUAUGUUGAGAAAUUGUUUUCCACAUAGGAUGAUUUUUUUUUCAAACUAAAGCAUAACACACACAUUUUAUACUGGUUCACUCAAUUGAGCCAUGUCUAUUUUUUCUCUAAAAUAACUUAACCCACUCCUGGUUGUACAGUAUUCUUCACCACUCUUGGUAUCCCUAGACGUUACCCGGUAUCCUCCAAAUACACUCGUCUAGUUGAGUUCACUCACUCCUAGUUUUCACUAGACAUACCCGUCUAGUUACCGUUUAACUCCACCAAAUUAAACGUUAGAGUUUCACCUACUCCUAGUUUCCAUUAGACAACCUAUCUAGCUAUUUUUUAACUCCUUAAAGUUAAACAUACAGUGUUUUAAUUCUCUUAAUAAUUUACAAUCAACAGAUUGAUUACAAGUCCUUAGAUGAUAACUCUCAUAGAGAGGAUAUGCAUUCAGUGCAAUUCAAUCUAAAAGAUGCAUUGAGUGUUUUCUCUCUUCUCUUUGUUAGAAAAAUCAUGAAGAUAAAAUUUUUAAUGAUGCCCAAAUCAAGUCUCAAGCGUUCACCUUGUCUUCCUGAAGACUUUUUUUAUGUUUUAAAGCUUUUGUAAUAAGUAGAUCUAUGUAUAGGGCUUUAUUUGUUGUUGAUUCAAUGUAUUGUUUGCUUUAAAGUUCGUUUUGGAAUCACAAAAACCCUGCAAUAAUUGAUUAACACUUAAGAUAAUCGAUUAUCACAAAUAGGUUUUUAAAAACUCAUUUUUUUCUCUAGAAGAAUCGAUUACCAGCGUAUGAUAAUCAAUUAUGACUUACCAUAAUCGAUUAUCAUAACUAGCCGUUGGAGUUUUUAGGCAUGUUUUUUAUACAAAUUUUGUAUAUGGAUAUCAGAAGGUAAAAUCCGUAUGUAAAAUCCGUAUAUAACUCGUUUUUCAGGAUCUGCAUGUAAAAUCCGUAUGUAAUACCUAUGUUACAUACGGAUCAAAAUCCGUAUGUAAAUAUCAGUAGGUAAUAACAAUUUUUCUUGUCCUUAGCUCAUCAUCCUUGGACCAUUUACCACCACAUUUCCAAACCCUUCAUCGAAGGAAACACCCCUACAUGCACAUCUCCUAGCUUUGGCCCAACCUAACCAAGGAGGUUGCCAUCACAUUAGAAGAAAGACAUGUGAUAAAAAUCCUCUCCAUUAGAAGGAGGACAUGUGGUAAAAAUCCUCUCCAUUAGGAGGAGGACAUGUGGCAAAAAUCUUGUCCAUUAGGAGGAGGACAUGUGGCCACUACCUAUGGAAAAUCCUCUCCAAUGUGAGCAUAAUGCAUGACCGCUCUCACAAAGGUUGGACGACCCACUCCCUUACUCGCCAAGCUAGGUUGAAAACAUUGACCCUUUGGUCUACCUAGCUUAUGGACGUCCACUUGGGUCAACAUUGGACCUUGGCCUUUGUUGAAUCAAGUGGUCUAAAAACCCUACACCAUUUUGCCUAAAAUACAAGGCCCAAAAUAAAACCUACACUACUUGGCCCAAAAUAUAAGGCCAAAUUUAUUCUACUCCUAGUUAAACCUUCAGAUAUACAAUGUCAACAAGCAUAUAAAAGAAUACAAGAACAUUUUACCUGCGAAGGGUAAAGAUGGGAUGAUGGCAUCCACUUUCCUGAUGACGUCGACAUCUUUGAGACGAAGGAUGGUGUUUAUGACCAUUGAAACGUUUUUCAUGUUGGUGAGUUCCAUGCUUGUAAGCCUCACUUAUUUUUGCAAAUCAGAACCUAGCAUGGUUAGCAGCCAAAGAGGAAAACGCAACAAAUUUCAUACGUGGAGGCAGGAUAAAGUUUUACUUGACCCAACAGUGGGCACCAAGUGAUCUUAACAAGAUCAUGAGCGUGGAUUUGCAUAUAGAUGGAAAGAUCCUAGUGGUGGCUUGAAAGCUCUUGCUGGUCAGAAUCAAAUCCCUUGUUGUUGAAAGGUGAGAGAUUUACAUGCAAAAGACUCUUCUACACUAUCAGUAAAAGUGUUUAGAUUUUUAUAAAUAUAGUUGAGUAUGAAUGAAUAUUUCUUAGGAAGUACUAGUUGUAUUUAUAGAAUCAAUAUGAACCGUGAAUCUAUUUUUCUAUGGGAAUAAUGCUUACCUCAAGUAUAUAAUAAAAAUGUAGUUAAUAAUAAUAUAAUGAUGCAUAUCAUAAAUAAUAGUCAUAAUAUUAAUUGUGAUAUGUGGAUAUUAUCUUAAUAGAUAUAAGAUUUGACUGCUUUAGAAUAACGAAACUUAAUGAACCUUAUUAUUAUAUCAUGUUCUUUAAUAUAUCUAUUCAAUCGAGUAAAAAAUAUAUAAAAUUAUUUCAUUUUCAUUAUAUAGGAAUUCAUCACUAACAUCUUUUUACUCUAUUACACUAGUGCAAAAUUGGGCUUUAACGUCACCCCAUAGACGUCAGAACAGAGAACACGCAACAUAAAUUAUUGACCGGUGGCAUUUUCGUAAAUAAGUGGGCAUAUAGACGUCAGUUCGGAGGGGCACCAACGUCUAUAACAUACUAGACGUCGAGGCCCCUCCUAACUGACGUCUAUAUGCCUGAGAGGUAGGUGAAAAGUCACUUCUUUCGGCCAUAUAAAUGUCGUUUAGGAGGGGCACCGACGUCUCUAAUAUUACAGACGUCGGUGCCCCUCUAACCGACGUUUAUAUGCCUGUCAGGUAGGUGAAAAGUCAUUUCUUUCCGCCAUCUAGACGUCAGAUCCUGCCAUACUGACGUCUAUAUGCGAUUAUAGACGUCGGCGCCCCCUUCAUUUGACGUCUAUAUGUACCACGAAUAUUAAUUUUUAAAUCGAAUGGACGUCUCAUUAGUGAGAGCCCCGACGUAUAUUCGAGAACAGACGUCAGUUGCUGGGGAAACCAACGUCUGAUAUUCUUUUAAAUAAUACAUUACAAACCAACAGUUACGCGUACUUCAUCGUCUUCCUUCGCAUUGCAUUUCGAGGUGCGUUUGAUCUCUUGUGAACAAUUUAGCCUUAUGUUUACUCCAAUUAAAGUAAUCUUUGAUGUAUUAUCUUUCGUUUGAACCGAUUAAAAUGAGUGUUGUGUUUUGGUGCGGUUUUUCUUGUGUCUUUGGGUAGUGUAGUGCACCUUCUCCCUUUGCUAGCUUUCCUCGUAAGAAAAGCUUGCGUCUUUUGGAUAUCUUAUGGCAUAUCAACCGAAAGCCAAUCCUGGGUCCUUACCUAGUUUGCAUGUCACCAUAUUAUUUUUCUUUGGCGGUUGGAAUGGAACUAGGCAACGACCCAUGUUCUGUUUUGGGUUGAAAUGCCAUAAGAGAUGCAAAAGACACAAGUUUUUCUUACGAAGAAGCUAGGAAGGGGGUGCUACAAUGCUACCCAAAGACACGAGCAAAACUGCAUUAAAAUACAACGAGUACUCAGUAGACGUCGGUUAAUGCCAUGUCCGACGUCUAUUGUGCCCUUAGACGUCAGUUAGUGCCAUGUCUGGCAUCCUUAUAGUGUCCUUAGACGUCGGUUAGUGUCCUGUCUAACGUCUUUAUAGUGCCCUUAGAUGUCGGUUAUAAUUGCAUUGACUGACGUCUGUAUAAAUGUCAGACAUGGAACUAAACCGAUGUCUGUAAUGACGUCGGACCUGUAGAGUCCGACGUCCGAUUAACGUCACCCAUAUAGACGUCAAGUCUGAAUGUGACGUUAAAAGCCCAAUAUAACAAAUAUCUAAAACCCUUUAUGCACUAAUGAUUCUAUCAUAAGUAACUUUUUGUUUUCUCAUCUUAUAUAAAACAAAUAAAUAUAUUAAAAGAAACUUUAGAAUAUUUAAAUACUUAAAAAUAAAUGUUAAAAUACUUAAAUACUUUAGGAUAUUUAAAAACUUAAAAUAAAUACUUAAAUACUUUAGAAUAUUUAAAAACUUAAAAUAAAUACUUAAAUACUUAAAAUUCUGCAUCGUUAAAAAUUAAAUCCUUAAAAUAAAUUUUAUUUAUUUAGUUUUAAAAGAAACUUUUAGACAUUUAAAAUAUAUAAUUGACCUUUUUUAAGAUGAAAUAAAAAGAAUAUAUUUUUACAGAAUAAAAUAAAAAAUUGGUCUAAAACUGAAAAAUCUAAUUAAAAUUUGACAGGUAUAAAAAGAUAAUAAAUAUAUGUUUAACUACCCAAAAUUUUAAGAAUCUUAUUUUACAGAAAAUCGAAAAAUAUAUUUAAAUCUAACUACUAUUGUACUUCUUUCAUCUUUUUCACAUGUUUAAAAGUUUUAAGAUAUUUUAUUCAUUUCUAUUCACAAAAGAGUUCACCUUAUCACCGGAGGUAGCUCUAUAAAUGAAUUCUCCCACAACUCUGCUUAUUCACACAACUGAACUGAAGAAAGAAGAGAAAAACCUUAAUCUGUUUCAUAGCCAGCCAAAGAAAUGGCGAGUGCAACGCUCUUUGCUAUCUUCCUUCUUUCUGCCAUAACUUUCUACCCUCCUUCAACCACUGCUCAACCUGUCACAGACGGGGAGGGUAACAUCGUUAGAAAUGGUGGCCGAUUCCAUAUAAGGCCAAUCUAUUUUGGAGGCGGCGGUGGAAUUGAACGAGCCAGAACUGGAGACGAAGGAUCCCCUCUCUCUGUUGUGCAAUCUCCCUUCGAGACUGAUCCAGGGCAACCAUGGAUUAUUCGAUCCUUGUUCAAAUCUCAAUUUAUUCCUGAAGGCAGAGUGAGUAUCAGUUACGAAUAUGUUGAACUCGGUGACUCUGUUGAGAGUAAUGAGUGGGUAGCUGUUAAGGGUCAGCCUGAAGGAACCGUCGUUAAAGUUGGCUACUCAAAUUCCGUCUCAGGUUUCUUCACUAUUCACAGAGCUUCCUUUGCCAAUAGCUAUAAAUUUCAGUUCUGUUCAACUGCUGGGUCCUGCGGUAAUGUUGGGAUUGUUAGGGAUGAAGCAGGGAACAGGAUUUUGGCCAUCGAUCAGGAUACCCCAUUCCAGUUUUAUCUUGAGCAACUUCCCUCUGAAGUAUCUAAAUGAAGCUCUGAACAUGAAAAAUCGUACACUUUCUCCGUUGGAGAGAGGUGUCUACGAUGUGCUUUGGAUGUAAUUAACUACCCAACACUAAGUAAAUAACAUAUCCAAAGCUUAUUUCUGUUUCUUCCUUUCUUUUUAGUAUUUAAAAACUUUUACUUCACUGAAGUUAUUAUACGAUAAUUU
This 19528-nucleotide long non-coding RNA is filed under the name Vigna radiata. Its description in RNAcentral is "long non-coding RNA (VRAD_LNC015098)". The record is from RNAcentral. Lineage: Eukaryota; Viridiplantae; Streptophyta; Magnoliopsida; Fabales; Fabaceae.